GGAAGUUUAGCUCAGCUGGUUCAGAGCAUCUGCCUUACAAGCAGAGGGUCGGGGGUUCGAAUCCCUCAACUUCCACAA
This 78-nucleotide transfer RNA is filed under the name bacterium 336/3. RNAcentral's name for it is "tRNA-Val". It matches the Rfam family "tRNA". From Rfam's summary of the family: Transfer RNA (tRNA) molecules are approximately 80 nucleotides in length. Their secondary structure includes four short double-helical elements and three loops (D, anti-codon, and T loops). The record is from RNAcentral. Lineage: Bacteria; Pseudomonadati.